UGGGGAAUAUUGCACAAUGGGGGAAACCCUGAUGCAGCGACGCCGCGUGAGCGAAGAAGGCUUUCGAGUCGUAAAGCUCUGUCCUAUGAGAAGAUAAUGACGGGAUCAUAGGAGGAAGCGCUGGCUAAAUACGUGCCAGCAGCCGCGGUAAUACGUAGGGGGCGAGCGUUGUCCGGAAUUAUUGGGCGUAAAGGGUACGUAGGCGGUUUUUUAAGUCAGGUGUCAAAGCGUGGAGCUUAACUCCAUUAAGCACUUGAAACUGAAAGACUUGAGUGAAGGAGAGGAAAGUGGAAUUCCUAGUGUAGCGGUGAAAUGCGUAGAUAUUAGGAGGAAUACCGGUGGCGAAGGCGACUUUCUGGACUUUUACUGACACUCAGGUACGAAAGCGUGGGGAGCAAACAGG
This 403-nucleotide ribosomal RNA is filed under the name Verrucomicrobiota bacterium. Its description in RNAcentral is "Verrucomicrobia bacterium partial 16S ribosomal RNA". It matches the Rfam family "Bacterial small subunit ribosomal RNA", at positions 355 to 776 of the family's 1533-position model. Lineage: Bacteria; Pseudomonadati; Verrucomicrobiota. The record is from RNAcentral.